Molecule: ribosomal RNA, 242 nt
Filed under: uncultured bacterium
Lineage: Bacteria
Description: partial 16S ribosomal RNA
Rfam family: Bacterial small subunit ribosomal RNA
Source: RNAcentral
GAUUGGCUCAGGAUGAACGCUAGCUACAGGCUUAACACAUGCAAGUCGAGGGGAAACGACAUCGAAAGCUUGCUUUUGAUGGGCGUCGACCGGCGCACGGGUGAGUAACGCGUAUCCAACCUGCCUACCACUUGGGGAUAACCUUGCGAAAGUAAGACUAAUACCCAAUGACAUCCCACGAAGACAUCUGAAUGGGAUUAAAGAUUUAUCGGUGAUGGAUGGGGAUGCGUCUGAUUAGCUUG